GAUGAACGCUGGCGGCGUGCCUAAUACAUGCCAGUCGAGCGAACAGACGAGGAGCUUGCUCCUCUGACGUUAGCGGCGGACGGGUGAGUAACACGUGGAUAACCUACCUAUAAGACUGGGAUAACUUCGGGAAACCGGAGCUAAUACCGGAUAAUAUAUUGAACCGCAUGGUUCAAUAGUGAAAGACGGUUUUGCUGUCACUUAUAGAUGGAUCCGCGCCGCAUUAGCUAGUUGGUAAGGUAACGGCUUACCAAGGCAACGAUGCGUAGCCGACCUGAGAGGGUGAUCGGCCAAACUGGAACUGAGACACGGUCCAGACUACUACGGGAGGCAGCAGUAGGGAAUCUUCCGCAAUGGGCGAAAGCUUGACGGAGCAACGCCGCGUGAGUGAUGAAGGUCUUCGGAUCGUAAAACUCUGUUAUUAGGGAAGAACAAAUGUGUAAGUAACUAUGCACGUCUUGACGGUACCUAAUCAGAAAGCCACGGCUAACUACGUG
RNAcentral lists this ribosomal RNA (497 nucleotides) under uncultured bacterium. Its description in RNAcentral is "partial 16S ribosomal RNA". It matches the Rfam family "Bacterial small subunit ribosomal RNA", at positions 28 to 507 of the family's 1533-position model. The record is from RNAcentral.